RNAcentral lists this ribosomal RNA (445 nucleotides) under uncultured bacterium. RNAcentral's name for it is "bacterial SSU rRNA". It matches the Rfam family "Bacterial small subunit ribosomal RNA", at positions 354 to 796 of the family's 1533-position model. The record is from RNAcentral.
GUAAGGAAUAUUGGUCAAUGGACGCAAGUCUGAACCAGCCAUGCCGCGUGCAGGAAGACGGCCCUACGGGUUGUAAACUGCUUUUGUACCGGAAUAAACCUUUUCACGUGUGAGAAGCUGAAUGUACGGUAAGAAUAAGGAUCGGCUAACUCCGUGCCAGCAGCCGCGGUAAUACGGAGGAUCCAAGCGUUAUCCGGAUUUAUUGGGUUUAAAGGGUGCGUAGGUGGCCUAUUAAGUCAGGGGUGAAAGACGGUAGCUUAACUAUCGCAGUGCCUUUGAUACUGAUGGGCUUGAAUACACUUGAGGUAGGCGGAAUGUGACAAGUAGCGGUGAAAUGCAUAGAUAUGUCACAGAACACCAAUUGCGAAGGCAGCUUACUAAAGUGUUAUUGACACUGAGGCACGAAAGCGUGGGGAUCAAACAGGAUUAGAAACCCUAGUAGUCC